RNAcentral lists this microRNA precursor (84 nucleotides) under Bombyx mori (domestic silkworm). Its description in RNAcentral is "mir-2807 microRNA precursor family". It matches the Rfam family "mir-2807 microRNA precursor family". Lineage: Eukaryota; Metazoa; Arthropoda; Insecta; Lepidoptera; Bombycidae. The record is from Rfam by way of RNAcentral.
UUAACUCAAAUUUGUAUGGAGUUGGCACAGCGCCCCUAGCGACAAACGUAAGCAAACGUUCCAACUCCAUACAAAGUUGAGUUU